UACGUAGGGUGCAAGCGUUGUCCGGAAUUAUUGGGCGUAAAGAGCUCGUAGGCGGUUUGUCGCGUCUGCUGUGAAAACUCGGGGCUUAACCCCGGGCCUGCAGUGGGUACGGGCAGACUAGAGUGCGGUAGGGGAGACUGGAAUUCCUGGUGUAGCGGUGAAAUGCGCAGAUAUCAGGAGGAACACCGGUGGCGGAGGCGGGUCUCUGGGCCGUAACUGACGCUGAGGAGCGAAAGCGUGGGGAGCGAACAGG
Molecule: ribosomal RNA, 253 nt
Filed under: uncultured bacterium
Lineage: Bacteria
Description: partial 16S ribosomal RNA
Rfam family: Bacterial small subunit ribosomal RNA
Source: RNAcentral